RNAcentral lists this transfer RNA (82 nucleotides) under Microbacterium sp. SA39. Its description in RNAcentral is "tRNA-Pro". The record is from RNAcentral. Lineage: Bacteria; Bacillati; Actinomycetota; Actinomycetes; Micrococcales; Microbacteriaceae.
GCGGCUGGUAGGUGACCGGCCGACCGGUGAUCUCGGAGAUCGCCGCGGCGAGAUCGCCGUAGUUCCAGGCGACAUCGCCACC